Bombyx mori (domestic silkworm) is the source of this 1342-nucleotide long non-coding RNA. RefSeq lists it as uncharacterized. The record is from RefSeq and is a predicted model, not a curated record. Lineage: Eukaryota; Metazoa; Arthropoda; Insecta; Lepidoptera; Bombycidae. The transcript is spliced from 2 exons.
AAACAAAUAAGUAAAUAUGUUCAUUAUUUAUCUUUCAAGAGAUAAUGUAGGUAUACAUUAUAAUAACAUUUUGACACAGUCGAAAUUAUGUUCCUAACAUUAGUAAAAUAACAUUUUAAUAUUUUUUUUAUAGGUUAUGUAUUGAAAUUGUUGGAAAAUUAUUUCAUGUUUUAGCUAGAAAACGACAUGGAGAAUUAUAUGCAAUACAAGAUAAUGAGCUCCAUCAAAUGAAUUCGAAUGAAACCAAACUGUUUACCAUCCAAAUUCGAUUGUCGGGCAGAUAGAAAACGAAAAUUCACUCAUAGUGAACCUCGGCCUGCAUUUGUGAAACGGCAAAGACUCACUAUUAUCAAGGAAAUUGAAGAGACGACUAAAAAUGAGAUGUGUCGUAUUAUUAUACCUUUGCCAUCUUGUAGUCAAGAUGUCCAGCCACUUGAAAAUAGGUGUAGUAAUGACAAAGCUAUCCAAGUAGCUCCAGCACAGGAACACAAAGGCAAGGCAAGUGUGUAUUGCCACAUCACCCCUUAAUAUAUCUGAAGCAAGUAUAAGUAAACAAUCAGAACCAGCAAAAAAAAAACUGUUGUUCCUGAGGACAAAUUUGACAGUGAUGAGUCAAAUGCACCAGCAACAGAAGGAUCAACUGUUGACUAUGAGUUAUCACUCUAUAUCUCCACUCCAUCAAAGACUUGUGCACUUCAGACUAUAGCUCUCAAGAAGACUAAAAAGUUGAAAAAAUGAAUGUGUUAACAACUUUAUCUAAAGUGAAAAAUAAACAACGUUUAUAUAUUGGUCUUGGCUUGAUUGAGAAACAUACAAAUGUUUCUGAACAAAAUAUUAUAUUAUGUCUGAUGAGAAUAACAUUAAAUAGAACAUUCUCUCAAUUGGCUGAUGAUUUCGAUUUAUCUGUAAGUCAAGCAAGCAAUAUAUUUUUCAACAAACUCCAAGAAAUUGCAAAUGUAAUAUCACCCCUUGUUAGACUAUAAAAAAAACAAUACAAUAAAUAUAUAUGCAGGAAGGAUAAUUGAUGUCAACUUGGUGGAAAAUAGAAAGUUUUUAGAUAGUUUGCCACUUACAAAACUCUUUAAUUAAAUAAGUAAUCCUUACUUAUAAAUAGGAAGUUUUGUAAGUAUUUUCACUCUUCAUUCAAAAACUACUGAACAGAUUUUAAUAAGACUUUUAUGCUGGUCUUCUAUGGCUAGCAACUCAUUAUUAUUUUGAUUCUGUUUUCCACAAAUGUGCUAAAUAUGGGCUUAUAUAUAUGAAAAGGAAUAAAUAUUAAUGUUAUGUAACCUUUGUACCUGUAUGUUAAGAAUAAUUUUUAAUAAAACAAUUUAAAUUGAAA